This 506-nucleotide ribosomal RNA is filed under the name uncultured bacterium. RNAcentral describes it as "partial 16S ribosomal RNA". It matches the Rfam family "Bacterial small subunit ribosomal RNA", at positions 29 to 523 of the family's 1533-position model. The record is from RNAcentral.
AGUGAACGCUGGCGGUAGGCCUAACACAUGCAAGUCGAACGGCAGCACAGGAGAGCUUGCUCUCUGGGUGGCGAGUGGCGGACGGGUGAGGAACACAUCGGAAUCUACUUUUUCGUGGGGGAUAACGUAGGGAAACUUACGCUAAUACCGCAUACGACCUACGGGUGAAAGCAGGGGAUCUUCGGACCUUGCGCGAUUGAAUGCGCCGAUGUCGGAUGAGCUAGUUGGCGGGGUAAAGGCCCACCAAGGCGACGAUCCGUAGCUGGUCUGAGAGGAUGAUCAGCCACACUGGAACUGAGACACGGUCCAGACUCCUACGGGAGGCAGCAGUGGGGAAUAUUGGACAAUGGGCGCAAGCCUGAUCCAGCCAUACCGCGUGGGUGAAGAAGGCCUUCGGGUUGUAAAGCCCUUUUGUUGGGAAAGAAAUCCAGCUGGUUAAUACCCGGUUGGGAUGACGGUACCCAAAGAAUAAGCACCGGCUAACUUCGUGCCAGCCGCCGCCGUAA